AUUGAACGCUGGCGGCAUGCCUUACACAUGCAAGUCGAACGGCAGCACGGGAGCAAUCCUGGUGGCGAGUGGCGAACGGGUGAGUAAUAUAUCGGAACGUGCCCAGUCGUGGGGGAUAACGUAGCGAAAGCUACGCUAAUACCGCAUACGAUCUAUGGAUGAAAGCGGGGGAUCGCAAGACCUCGCGCGAUUGGAGCGGCCGAUAUCAGAUUAGUAGUUGGUGAGGUAAAGGCUCACCAAGCGACGAUCUGUAGCUGGUCUGAGAGGACGACCAGCCACACUGGGACUGAGACACGGCCCAGACUCCUACGGGAGGCAGCAGUGGGGAAUUUUGGACAAUAGGCGCAAGCCUGAUCCAGCAAUGCCGCGUGCAGGAUGAAGGCCUCGGUU
Molecule: ribosomal RNA, 390 nt
Filed under: uncultured bacterium
Lineage: Bacteria
Description: bacterial SSU rRNA
Rfam family: Bacterial small subunit ribosomal RNA
Source: RNAcentral